AUACGGAGGGUGCAAGCGUUAUCCGGAUUUAUUGGGUUUAAAGGGUUCGUAGGCGGACAAGUCAGUCAGUGGUGAAAGCCUGUGGCUCAACCAUAGAACUGCCAUUGAUACUGCUUGUCUUGAGUACAGUUGAAGUGGGCGGAAUGAGUUAUGUAGCGGUGAAAUGCAUAGAUAUAACUUAGAACACCGAUUGCGAAGGCAGCUCACUAAAUUGUAACUGACGCUGAGGAACGAAAGCGUGGGGAGCGAACAGAAUUAGAAACCCCAGUAGUCC
Molecule: ribosomal RNA, 274 nt
Filed under: uncultured bacterium
Lineage: Bacteria
Description: partial 16S ribosomal RNA
Rfam family: Bacterial small subunit ribosomal RNA
Source: RNAcentral